AGAUUAUGUGCUGAAGUCUGCAGAGCUGGCAAAAGCUGGAGGGUGCAAACAUUUCAACUUGCUAUCCUCUAAAGGAGCUGAUAAAUCAAGCAAUUUUUUAUAUCUACAAGGAGAAGUAGAAGCCAAGGUUGAAGAAUUAAAAUUUGAUCGUUACUCUGUAUUUAGGCCUGGAGUUCUGUUAUGUGAUAGGCAAGAAUCUCGCCCAGGUGAAUGGCUGGUUAGAAAGUUCUUUGGCUCCUUACCAGACUCUUGGGCCAGUGGGCAUUCUGUGCCUGUGGUGACCGUGGUUAGAGCAAUGCUGAACAAUGUGGUGAGACCAAGAGACAAGCAGAUGGAACUGCUGGAGAACAAGGCCAUCCAUGACCUGGGGAAAGCGCAUGGCUCUCUCAAGCCAUGACCACAUUGGAGAAAUGGUUUUUAUUGUCAACCUUAACACCCAUCACCAAAUCGGUAAUUUCAGGGUCUAAAAAAAGUCAGCAUGUUUUAACUUUGUUGUUUUACUAUCCUCAGGCAUCCAUUCCAAUCAAGAAAUGAUGGUGCUCUGCAUCAGUGGUUCAGAGCCUGGUUAUACAUAUAGAUCACUCAGGGAGCUUUGGAAAAAUAAAGAUUUGUCAGCCCUAUCUCAAACUUGAAUCAAAAUUUCUGGGGUGUGGGCACAAUAAUCUGUAAUUUUCUUUGUUUAUACUUCCCCUGAUGCCACUGGUUCCGAUGCCACUGGCUGGGGGGCCUGCUUUGAAAUGCUUGUCUGCAGAGUCACAGCAGCCAUGAAAACCUUAUGACCGUGCAAAUGAGCUCUGCUCUAAAAUUGUUGACAUUCAUGUCUCUGAGUUACAAAAGUGCUAAUUCACUACAUGUAAUUGUGUAAGUAAACAUUGUGCCUUUACUACUUCUUUAUGUAAUAGAAGUUAUAUACCUAAGCUUAUAUAAUACAUGGGGAGGAUUAAAUAAAGGAAUAAAGAUGAAUG
This 965-nucleotide long non-coding RNA is filed under the name Homo sapiens (human). RNAcentral's name for it is "long non-coding RNA NONHSAT158914.1". The record is from RNAcentral. Lineage: Eukaryota; Metazoa; Chordata; Mammalia; Primates; Hominidae.